CAGCCGCCGCGGUAAUACCGGCGGCCCGAGUGGCGGCCACUAUUAUUGGGCUUAAAGCGUCCGUAGCCGGGUUGGGAAGUCCUCCGGGAAAUCUGGCCGCUUAACGGUCAGAAUGCCGGAGGAUACUCCCAGCCUAGGGAGCGGGAGAGGCCGAGGGCAUUCCCGGAGUAGGGGCGAAAUCCUAUAAUCCCGGGAGGACCGCCUGUGGCGAAGGCGCUCGGCUGGAACGCGUCCGACGGGGAGGGACGAAGGCCAGGGGAGCAAACCGGAUUAGAUACCCGGGUAGUCCUGGCUGUAAACGAUGCGGACUUUGUGUCGGACAAGCUAUGAGCUUGUCCGGUGCCGGAGGGAAACCGUUAAGUCCGCCGCCUGGGGAGUACGGCCGCAAGGCUGAAACUUAAAGGAAUUGGCGGG
Molecule: ribosomal RNA, 414 nt
Filed under: uncultured microorganism
Description: bacterial SSU rRNA
Rfam family: Archaeal small subunit ribosomal RNA
Source: RNAcentral